GACGAACGCUGGCGGCGUGCUUAACACAUGCAAGUCGAACGGAUCAUUUCAUUUCGGUGGGCUGGUUAGUGGCGAACGGGUGAGUAACGCGUAGACAACCUACCUCUCAGAUGGGGACAACAUCGCGAAAGCGGUGCUAAUACCGAAUGAUGUAACUUUUCUGCAUGGAAGAGUUACCAAAGGCGGCCUCUAUUUAUAAGCUGUCACUGAGAGAUGGGUCUGCGUCUGAGUUAGCUAGUUGGCGGGGUAAUGGCCCACAAAGGCGACGAUCAGUAGCCGGUCUGAGAGGGUGAACGGCCACAUUGGGACUGAGACACGGCCCAAACUCCUACGGGAGGCAGCAGUGGGGAAUCUUCCGCAAUGGACGAAAGUCUGACGGAGCAACGCCGCGUGAGUGAAGAAGGUUUUCGGAUCGUAAAGCUCUGUUGUUUGAGACGAACGUGCAAUUUUUGAAUAAGGAAUUGUAAUGACGGUAUUAAACGAGGAAGCCACGGCUAACUACGUGCCAGCCGCCGCGGUAA
RNAcentral lists this ribosomal RNA (521 nucleotides) under uncultured bacterium. RNAcentral's name for it is "partial 16S ribosomal RNA". It matches the Rfam family "Bacterial small subunit ribosomal RNA", at positions 28 to 523 of the family's 1533-position model. The record is from RNAcentral.